AGAGGUUGCCUUCGGGUAACCAAAACCGGCGCACGGGUGCGUAACGCGUAUACAAUCUGCCUUUCACAUAGGGAUAGCCCGAAGAAAUUUGGAUUAAUACCUAAUGGUAUAUAAAAGCGGCAUCGUUUUUAUAUUAAAGCUACGGUGGUGAAAGAUGAGUAUGCGUUCUAUUAGCUAGUUGGAGAGGUAACGGCUCCCCAAGGCGACGAUAGAUAGGGGUUCUGAGAGGGAUGUCCCCCACACUGGUACUGAGAUACGGACCAGACUCCUACGGGAGGCAGCAGUGAGGAAUAUUGGACAAUGGUCGGAAGACUGAUCCAGCCAUGCCGCGUGCAGGAUGAAGGUCCUAUGGAUUGUAAACUGCUUUUGUAAGGGAAGAAUAAGGAGUACGUGUACUUUGAUGACGGUACCUUACGAAUAAGCAUCGGCUAACUCCGUGCCAGCAGCCGCGGUAAUACGGAGGAUGCGAGCGUUAUCCGGAAUCAUUGGGUUUAAAGGGUCCGUAGGCGGGCUGAUAAGUCAGAGGUGAAAGCGCUAGCUCAACUAAGCAACUGCCUUUGAAACUGUCAGUCUUGAAUGAUUGUGAAGUAGUUGGAAUGUGUAGUGUAGCGGUGAAAUGCUUAGAUAUUACACAGAACACCGAUAGCGAAGGCAUAUUACUAACAAUUUAUUGACGCUGAUGGACGAAAGCGUGGGGAGCGAACAGGAUUAGAUACCCUGGUAGUCCACGCUGUAAACGAUGGAUACUAGCUGUUUGGAGCAAUCUGAGUG
This 771-nucleotide ribosomal RNA is filed under the name uncultured Bacteroidota bacterium. RNAcentral describes it as "bacterial SSU rRNA". It matches the Rfam family "Bacterial small subunit ribosomal RNA", at positions 69 to 845 of the family's 1533-position model. The record is from RNAcentral. Lineage: Bacteria; Pseudomonadati; Bacteroidota.